Molecule: ribosomal RNA, 285 nt
Filed under: unidentified marine bacterioplankton
Lineage: Bacteria
Description: partial 16S ribosomal RNA
Rfam family: Bacterial small subunit ribosomal RNA
Source: RNAcentral
AGAACGAACGCUGGCGGCACGCCUAACACAUGCAAGUCGAGCGAGACCUUCGGGUUUAGCGGCGGACGGGUUAGUAACGCGUGGGAACGUACCUUUUGCUUCGGAAUAGCCUCGGGAAACUGGGAGUAAUACCGAAUGUGCCCUUAGGGGGAAAGAUUUAUCGGCAAAAGAUCGGCCCGCGUCUGAUUAGAUAGUUGGUGGGGUAAUGGCCUACCAAGUCCGCGAUCAGUAGCUGGUUUGAGAGGAUGAUCAGCAACACUGGGACUGAGACACGGCCCAGACUCC